CCUGGCCCUCCAGAGAGCCUUGCCCAAGCCCCAAACAAGAUGUAAUUGAAGCUCCCACAUUGCAUUUGGCUGUUAUGUUUUCUCAGUCUCCUCCAGUCUGGGACUGGCCCUCAGUCUCUUUUCCUUCAUCUCUUAUGACCUUAACACUGUUGAAGGAUACUGUUCUUCAGUUUGAGUUUGUUUGAUGUCUCUUCAUGAUUAAAUGAAAGAGAGAGCGAGAGCAUGCAGAAGCAGGGAGGAACAGCUGGAAGAGUGAGAAGCAGGCUCCCCACUGAGCAAGAAGCCCAAUACAGGAUUCAAUCCCAGGAAGCUGAGAUCACUACCUGAGCCUUAGUCAGAUGCUUAACUGACUAAGCCACCCAGGCAUCCCUGAGGGCUUCUUAAUUCACAUGUCUGGUGGUUGAUACUGGCUAUUAGCUGUUUUACUGAGGCUGUUGGCCAGAACACCUAUGCGUGAUCUUUCCAUGUGUCCAUGCUUCCACCAUGUGGCUGAAUUCCAAGAGUGAAAAUUUUCAGAAAAAUAGUAAUUCAGAAAGAAUAUGUAUUGCCUUUCAUGACUUAGCCUCAAAUGUCAUGAAUGUUACUUCUGCUGCUGUUUUUUCAUUGGGAUAGUGACGUAAGCUCUAAGUUCAAGUGACAGAAAAAUAGAUUCCAUAGAUGGGACAAUGACAAGUUUCUGGAAGGGCAUGUGAGACCAAAAAAUAUCCCACUAGUUUUGGAAAAUACAGUCUGCCUCCAAAGAGUUAAAAUGAUUUACACACACACCAAAAAAAUAAAUAUGCAACACAUGUCAGUUCCUGUCUCAAGGAAAAUGCACAUUUCUCUUCUAUCUUCACUCAAAAUAUGGCCUUAACAUGGCAUAUAUUCAUGAUUUUUAAAGAUAACUUGGAUUGAAUGUAAAAUCUGUUUAGUAUGCAUCUGUGUACAUAUAUCUUUUAAUAUGGAGAGAACCCAUUAAAGUCUUAAAAUAUCAAUGACCAGGAAAAACAUGAAUUAAAACUAUUACUACAGUCUGCAUCAUAGAGUACACUAUUUAAAAAAUAUAUUUUUUUGGAAAAGGAACCUAUCUCCUACAGUACUGAAAGCCAAUUUUACAGAUGUUUCCUAUGGAGAAAUUAGCAGAAGGAGAAAGGAGUUCUGGUAAAACAAAAGUUAAAUUAUAUAUCAUUUUAUGGUCAAUCAAUUUGCACUGUAUCUUCUUAAGCAAACACAUAUUGUCUCUUUGUUUUAUCUUGCCCCUAAAUAAGCUCUUGCAACUGAAAACAAAAUCAAUUUGCAGUAAUUCAGCAUUUCUAUUUCAUUAGAGUGACAUGAAAGAAGGUAUAUUAUGAUAGUUUCAAAAGCCACUGGAGACUGGGUCAACCUGCUCCUAGAGUUGUUUUUUUCUCAAAUUUCAAUAAACAAGAUUCAGGAAUCUA
Molecule: long non-coding RNA, 1418 nt
Organism: Mustela lutreola (European mink)
Lineage: Eukaryota; Metazoa; Chordata; Mammalia; Carnivora; Mustelidae
Exons: 2
Source: RefSeq, a predicted model, not a curated record